Molecule: ribosomal RNA, 277 nt
Filed under: uncultured bacterium
Lineage: Bacteria
Description: partial 16S ribosomal RNA
Rfam family: Bacterial small subunit ribosomal RNA
Source: RNAcentral
AACGAACGCUGGCGGCAGGCCUAACACAUGCAGGUCGAGCGCCCUCUUCGGAGGGAGCGGCGGACGGGUUAGUAACGCGUGGGAAUAUGCCCAAAGGUACGGAACAACAGUUGGAAACGACUGCUAAUAGCGUAUGUGCCCUACGGGGAAAGAUUUAUCGCCUUUGGAUUAGCCCGCGUUGGAUUAGCUAGUUGGUGAGGUAACGGCUCACCAAGGCGACGAUCCAUAGCUGGUUUGAGAGGAUGAUCAGCAACACUGGGACUGAGACACGGCCCAG